GACGAACGCUGGCGGCGUGCUUAACACAUGCAAGUCGAACGAUGAACCCGGAGCUUGCUCCGGUGGAUUAGUGGCGAACGGGUGAGUAACACGUGAGUAACCUGCCCUUGACUCUGGAAUAACUGCGGGAAACUGUAGCUAAUACCGGAUACGACCCUCGGCGGCAUCGCCAGGGGGUGGAAAGAAUUUCGGUCAAGGAUGGACUCGCGGCCUAUCAGCUAGUUGGUGAGGUAACGGCUCACCAAGGCGACGACGGGUAGCCGGCCUGAGAGGGUGACCGGCCACACUGGGACUGAGACACGGCCCAGACUCCUACGGGAGGCAGCAGUGGGGAAUAUUGCACAAUGGGCGCAAGCCUGAUGCAACAACGCCGCGUGAGGGAUGACGGCCUUCGGGUUGUAAACCUCUUUUAGUAGGGAAGAAGCGAAAGCGACGGUACCUGCAGAAAAAGCACCGGCUAACUACGUGCCAGCCGCCGCGGUAA
Molecule: ribosomal RNA, 484 nt
Filed under: uncultured bacterium
Lineage: Bacteria
Description: partial 16S ribosomal RNA
Rfam family: Bacterial small subunit ribosomal RNA
Source: RNAcentral